AACGAACGCUGGCGGCAUGCCUAACACAUGCAAGUCGAACGAGACCUUCGGGUCUAGUGGCGCACGGGUGCGUAACGCGUGGGAACCUGCCCUUAGGUUCGGAAUAACUCCCCGAAAGGGGUGCUAAUACCGGAUAAUGUCUUCGGACCAAAGAUUUAUCGCCUUUGGAUGGGCCCGCGUUGGAUUAGCUAGUUGGUAGGGUAAAAGCCUACCAAGGCGACGAUCCAUAGCUGGUCUGAGAGGAUGAUCAGCCACACUGGGACUGAGACACGGCCCAGACUCCUACGGGAGGCAGCAGUGGGGAAUAUUGGACAAUGGGCGAAAGCCUGAGCCAGCAAUGCCGCGUGAGUGAUGAAGGCCUUAGGGUUGUAAAGCUCUUUUACCCGGGAUGAUAAUGACAGUACCGGGAGAAUAAGCUCCGGCUAACGCCG
Molecule: ribosomal RNA, 431 nt
Filed under: uncultured bacterium
Lineage: Bacteria
Description: partial 16S ribosomal RNA
Rfam family: Bacterial small subunit ribosomal RNA
Source: RNAcentral